GAUACCCUGGUAGUCCACGCCGUAAACGAUGUCGAUUUGGAGGUUGUGCCCUUGAGGCGUGGCUUCCGGAGCUAACGCGUUAAAUCGACCGCCUGGGGAGUACGGCCGCAAGGUUAAAACUCAAAUGAAUUGACGGGGGCCCGCACAAGCGGUGGAGCAUGUGGUUUAAUUCGAUGCAACGCGAAGAACCUUACCUGGUCUUGACAUCCACAGAACUUUCCAGAGAUGGUUUGGUGCCUUCGGGAACUGUGAGACAGGUGCUGCAUGGCUGUCGUCAGCUCGUGUUGUGAAAUGUUGGGUUAAGUCCCGCAACGAGCGCAACCCUUAUCCUUUGUUGCCAGCGGUUCGGCCGGGAACUCAAAGGAGACUGCCAGUGAUAAACUGGAGGAAGGUGGGGAUGACGUCAAGUCAUCAUGGCCCUUACGAGCAGGGCUACACACGUGCUACAAUGGCAUAUACAAAGAGAAGCGACCUCGCGAGAGCAAGCGGACCUCAUAAAGUAUGUCGUAGUCCGGAUUGGAGUCUGCAACUCGACUCC
Molecule: ribosomal RNA, 538 nt
Filed under: Klebsiella pneumoniae
Lineage: Bacteria; Pseudomonadati; Pseudomonadota; Gammaproteobacteria; Enterobacterales; Enterobacteriaceae
Description: bacterial SSU rRNA
Rfam family: Bacterial small subunit ribosomal RNA
Source: RNAcentral